Lagopus leucura (white-tailed ptarmigan) is the source of this 2330-nucleotide long non-coding RNA. RefSeq lists it as uncharacterized. The transcript has 3 exons. The record is from RefSeq and is a predicted model, not a curated record. NCBI's taxonomy places the organism in Eukaryota, Metazoa, Chordata, Aves, Galliformes, Phasianidae.
GUUCUGUGCGCAAAUCCAGCGGCGGAGGAUCAACCUGUUCUUCAUGUGAUGCCAUGAAAAUUGCAUUUCUUAGAUUUUUUUAAAAUCUUGCUCUACGUAUGAAGAUGAGUCUUAUCAAAGUUUUGAUAUUCCCACUAAAAUUAGGUAUGGUGCUUGGACUGUGGGCAGAUGUCCGAAGCGGUGUGAAGCAGUCCUUCCUUGAAGUCCCGAGGAUCAAGUUAUUUGGCGUGCUGGUUACUGUCGUGCAUAUAUUUUACUAGUGGGAAGAAUGCAAUUGUGUAAAACUUAAAUUCAAGGGGCAGACAGCUUGCUGUUUUUUUUGCUGUGUUUGCUGCACCUAGUGGAAGAAUCUGUGGGCAUCCUGAAAUGUGGAUGUGUUUUCCUAAUGAUCAGUUUUGGUGCCAGCGUUAGGACCUGCAAGUGACACCAGGAACUGUCAAAGGAGGGCAGGGGAAAGUACUGAGAUCUUCCGUUGAAAGAAAAUAUUGAAGAAAGAGAGAUGAGAGGAGAAGAAAUUAAUGCAUACACUGCAGGAACAGGACAACUAGUUUCCAGGGAUGAAGUUAGGGCUGCGCUGUAUGCUGAGUGUUCAUCAGUAGGUUUGGAUGCCCAACUGCACUGAGGGCAGUGAGAAGUGUCCUCCACCUCUGUCUGCUCAGCUGCACUUCAGCUGUUCCGUCACCCCCUGCGUCUGCAUACAGAAUAAAGAACUGAAGGUGAAGAUUCAGCAAUUGUAGGAGCUGUGAUCUCUGUGCAAGACUGAUGACUACAAAGGAGAGUGAAUUGUGGGUUGAAGUUGGUGUAAGUCUACACAGAACACAACAAUGACAUAUUGAUGGAAUGGGUAACAUGAUACUUGAACAGACUUUGGUGAGGGAACCAAACUCUGCUAUAAUCCUGAUUUGCAAUUGCACACUUUUCUUGGAGCCAGGUAUGCUCUGUGAUAUUCCAUUUUCUUUUCUGUCAUUUGUGUUGCCCACAGUAUCACGCAUUCACAGGUGUUGAAAGAGACCUCUGGGGAUCGUUAUGUCCUACCCCCUGCUAAAGCAGGUUCCCUACAUGAGAUUGCAGAGGAAGGCAGGCAGGUGCUCUGUCACCUUUGAAGUAAAGGACUUUGUUGUCAUGUUCGUACUGAACUUCCUGUGUUGAAGUUUGUGCCCAUUCUGCCUUGUCUUGUUGCUGGGUACCACAAAAAAAGGAGCCCAGCCACAUUCACUUGACUGCUACUCUUUAGAUAUUUCCAAGUGUUGGUAAGAUCUCCCCUCAGUCCCCUCUUCUCCAGGCUGAGCAGUCCCAUCUCUCUCAGCUGUUCCUCAUACAGGAGGUGCUCCAGGCCCACAGCCAUCUCUGUGGCCCUCUGCUGGUCUCUCUGAGUAGCUCCCUGUGUUUCUUGAACUGGGGAGCCCAGAACUGGGCACAGUGCUCCAGAUGUGGCCUCUCUAAUGACAGAAAUUCUGUUGACAGAAAACAUUCUUGACAGAAGUUGCCUAUUGUCAUUAGCUAAGCGUUUAUAAACUGCUCAUUUGGCACAUUUUUCUCCUGGAAACUGAAGAUUGUUGGCCUGUGCUGCAUGGUUCUUUUCAGUUAAAUCAGUUUGUCUGUUGGAGCAGCUGCACUCUGGACACUUAUGAAGUGAUCCAGUGUGAAUGAAGUUAGACUUUGUUGGACAAUGUAAGCCAUACUUUGCUAUAAUUGUAGUUUAAACUAUAGUUUACCAUUAUAGUAAACUAUAAGCAAACUUUACAGUUGUAUGUUUGAACUGACAUAACUCAGUGUUCAGUGAUGGGUGAAGAGUUGUAGGACUUCAUAAUUAUUGUUGCUUUUUUUUUUUUUUUUCUGCCAAAGGAAGAGUAACACUGACAUACAACUUUUUUUUGCCAGCUGAUGAGCAUAGCUGUUCACUCUGGCAGUGCUGUGUACCCUUAUCUGUGCAGCCACAGACUUGUUCUAAGUGCCCUUGGGCUUACUGGCUGCUUUGAGGUGGAUCUAUCUUUCUCACUUGUUAAGAGUAACUUGAAAACAAUUUUGUUUUCUCAAAGUAUUGAACAGGUAGUACAUUUUAGACUGAGUGUUUGGUUAUUUGAGAAGCCUUCUAUGUAAGAUUUCUCUUUCUGUUCCAUUGCUCUGCAAACCAAGUAGUAUUGUUGAAAUAAACCAAUUAAGUUAAAGUGGGCUUUAUUUAUUUUAAGUAGCAGUUUGUACAUGUUUUUCCAGCCAUACUUGCAGCAUUUGUGGAUUUCAGCCUCGGGAGAAAAAAAAGAGGAAAGAGUAAUCAAAACCAAAUGUCUUUGAAUGCUUUGUUUUCUUGGUCUUUGUUUAAUGGUGACUUA